GUCGAACGGUAACAUUUCUAGCUUGCUAGAAGAUGACGAGUGGCGGACGGGUGAGUAAUGCUUGGGAACUUGCCUUUGCGAGGGGGAUAACAGUUGGAAACGACUGCUAAUACCGCAUAAUGUCUUCGGACCAAACGGGGCUUAGGCUCCGGCGCAAAGAGAGGCCCAAGUGAGAUUAGCUAGUUGGUAAGGUAACGGCUUACCAAGGCGACGAUCUCUAGCUGUUCUGAGAGGAAGAUCAGCCACACUGGGACUGAGACACGGCCCAGACUCCUACGGGAGGCAGCAGUGGGGAAUAUUGCACAAUGGGGGAAACCCUGAUGCAGCCAUGCCGCGUGUGUGAAGAAGGCCUUCGGGUUGUAAAGCACUUUCAGUUGUGAGGAAAAGUUAGUAGUUAAUACCUGCUAGCCGUGACGUUAACAACAGAAGAAGCACCGGCUAACUCCGUGCCAGCAGCCGCGGUAAUACGGAGGGUGCGAGCGUUAAUCGGAAUUACUGGGCGUAAAGCGCACGCAGGCGGUUUGUUAAGCUAGAUGUGAAAGCCCCGGGCUCAACCUGGGAUGGUCAUUUAGAACUGGCAGACUAGAGUCUUGGAGAGGGGAGUGGAAUUCCAGGUGUAGCGGUGAAAUGCGUAGAUAUCUGGAGGAACAUCAGUGGCGAAGGCGACUCCCUGGCCAAAGACUGACGCUCAUGUGCGAAAGUGUGGGUAGCGAACAGGAUUAGAUACCCUGGUAGUCCACACCGUAAACGCUGUCUACUAGCUGUGU
This 767-nucleotide ribosomal RNA is filed under the name uncultured bacterium. RNAcentral describes it as "bacterial SSU rRNA". It matches the Rfam family "Bacterial small subunit ribosomal RNA", at positions 61 to 825 of the family's 1533-position model. The record is from RNAcentral.